RNAcentral lists this ribosomal RNA (253 nucleotides) under uncultured bacterium. Its description in RNAcentral is "partial 16S ribosomal RNA". It matches the Rfam family "Bacterial small subunit ribosomal RNA", at positions 524 to 776 of the family's 1533-position model. The record is from RNAcentral.
UACGGAGGGUGCAAGCGUUGUUCGGAUUUAUUGGGCGUAAAGGGCGCGCAGGCGGUUUUCCAAGUCUGAUGUGAAAGCCCCGGGCCUACCCCGGGAAGUGCAUUGGAAACUGGGAGACUUGAGUACGGAAGAGGAGAGUGGAAUUCCUGGAGUAGGGGUGAAAUCCAUAGAUAUCAGGAAGAAGACCGGUGGCGAAGGCGGCUCUCUGAUACGAUACUGACGCUGAGGCGCGAAAGCAUGGGGAGCAAACAGG